GGCCCAUCCAUGGGCCUUCCUAACAUAAUACGCCUGGGCCUACAAGCCAAAGGCACAACUCGCAUCCCACGCCCCCAUGGCCCACAAACCACCACAAAGAAAAGAUCGGCCGCAUCGGGCCAUCGCCGCAUCGAUCGCCUUCCGCGCCGCCACGCCGCAGCGGCGGACUGACGACGCCGUCCGCCGCGCUCCGGCGUCCCGCUCGCCGCCGGCCUUCUACCAUGACGAUCCGCAGCCCUAGAUAUGCAGCGUGCCUGGAGGUGUAGAUCACACGCAACGCAAGUCCCAACGGCUAGGCUCGAUGAUGAGAUGCUUCUGUUUCUUUCCCGAUUCACAGCCAUGAAGAUGAAAUCCCCCUUCAUCAGAUUCAGAAUCUAUCAACUUUACCUCGCGAUUAGCCGAUUACUACUGCAAUCCUGAUGAACCUUAUCCGGGACCAUGAUAAUUAAGCCGUUCCAUUCAAUUCAAAGAUGAGGUUGAAGUUGCAGCCACCCAGCUUGCUACUGCAGAAGCUGACUGCACAACUAAUGUGCAUUUACAUAGACUAAUACUGACUCACUGAGACCCUGUUUAGAUGGGACUAAAACUUUUAAGUCCUUAUCACAUCGGAUAUUUGUCACUAAUUAUAAAUAUUAAACGUAGACUAUUAAUAAAACCCAUAAAUAAUCUUGGACUAAU
Long non-coding RNA from Oryza sativa Japonica Group (Japanese rice), 678 nucleotides. RefSeq lists it as uncharacterized. The record is from RefSeq and is a predicted model, not a curated record. Lineage: Eukaryota; Viridiplantae; Streptophyta; Magnoliopsida; Poales; Poaceae.